AUUUUUAUAGUGUAAUACUAGCACAUUAGAUUUUCAAUCUUUUAGAAUAUCUUAGAUAUUAAAAAUA
RNAcentral lists this transfer RNA (67 nucleotides) under Sepia officinalis (common cuttlefish). RNAcentral's name for it is "tRNA-Glu". It matches the Rfam family "tRNA". Rfam says of the family: Transfer RNA (tRNA) molecules are approximately 80 nucleotides in length. Lineage: Eukaryota; Metazoa; Mollusca; Cephalopoda; Sepiida; Sepiidae. The record is from RNAcentral.